CACCUGCUGUCUCAGAUGGUAAAGAAUCUGCCUGCAAUGCAGGAUACCUGGGUUCAAUCCCUGGGUCAGUAA
Molecule: non-coding RNA, 72 nt
Organism: Bos taurus (domestic cattle)
Lineage: Eukaryota; Metazoa; Chordata; Mammalia; Artiodactyla; Bovidae
Source: Rfam